GACUAUGUUAAUCUUAUGUGCGCUAAAAGCGUGUGCGGGAAGGCAGCACGCUGCAUUGAGAUACCCCUGUAGUUCCGCGCCGUAAACGACGAGUGUUAAGUGUUUAGAGGGUUUCCCGCCCUUUAGUGCCGAAGUUACCUGCAUUAAGCAAGCUCCGCCUGGGGAGUACGGCCGCAAGGCUGAAACUCAACAGGAAUUGACGGGGGGCCGCACAAGCGGUGGAGCAUGUGGUUUAAUUCGAAGCAACGCGAAGAACCUUACCAGGUCUUGACAUCCUCUGAAAACCCUAGAGAUAGGGCUUCUCCUUCGGGAGCAGAGUGACAGGUGGUGCAUGGUUGUCGUCAGCUCGUGUCGUGAGAUGUUGGGUUAAGUCCCGCAACGAGCGCAACCCUUGAUCUUAGUUGCCAUCAUUAAGUUGGGCACUCUAAGGUGACUGCCGGUGACAAACCGGAGGAAGGUGGGGAUGACGUCAAAUCAUCAUGCCCCUUAUGACCUGGGCUACACACGUGCUACAAUGGACGGUACAAAGAGCUGCAAGACCGCGAGGUUUUGGAGCUAAUCUCAUAAAACCGUUCUCAGUUCGGAUUGUAGGCUGCAACUCGCCUACAUGAAGCUGGAAUCGCUAGUAAUCGCGGAUCAGCUAUGCCGCGGUGAAGUACGUUCCCGGGCCUUGUACACACCGCCCGUCACACCACGAGAGUUUGUAACACCCGAAGUCGGUGGGGUAACCUUUAUGGAGCCAGCCGCCUCUUAGUGGUACCCCGGGG
RNAcentral lists this ribosomal RNA (767 nucleotides) under Bacillus cereus. Its description in RNAcentral is "bacterial SSU rRNA". It matches the Rfam family "Bacterial small subunit ribosomal RNA", at positions 723 to 1480 of the family's 1533-position model. The record is from RNAcentral. Lineage: Bacteria; Bacillati; Bacillota; Bacilli; Caryophanales; Bacillaceae.